This 404-nucleotide ribosomal RNA is filed under the name uncultured bacterium. RNAcentral's name for it is "partial 16S ribosomal RNA". It matches the Rfam family "Bacterial small subunit ribosomal RNA", at positions 28 to 526 of the family's 1533-position model. The record is from RNAcentral.
GAUGAACGCUGGCAGAAUGCUUAACACAUGCAAGUCAACUGUGGCGGACGGGUGAGUAACGCGUAAAGAACUUGCCUCACAGCUAGGGCCAACAUUUGGAAACGAAUGCUAAUACCUGAUACUGUGAGAGAGCUUUGCGUCCCAUUAGCUAGUUGGAGAGGUCACGGCUCACCAAGGCGAUGAUGGGUAGCCGGCCUGAGAGGGUGAUCGGCCACAAGGUGACGGAGACACGGCCCUUAUGCAUACGGGAGGCAGCAGUGGGGAAUAUUGGACAAUGGACCAAAGUCUGAUCCAGCCAUUCUGUGUGCACGAUGAAUUUGUCGGAAUGUAAAGUGCUUUCAGUUGGUAAGCGGUACCAACAGAAGAAGUAACGGCUAACUACGUGCCAGCAGCCGCGGUAAUUC